Molecule: long non-coding RNA, 355 nt
Organism: Aphidius gifuensis
Lineage: Eukaryota; Metazoa; Arthropoda; Insecta; Hymenoptera; Braconidae
Exons: 3
Source: RefSeq, a predicted model, not a curated record
UCUCUCUUUGCAAAGCAUUGCCAAGACAGAAAUAGAUUUGCAUCGAUUCGCAUCGUGGUCAGCCGUAUAAUCACACCAAGAUGUAUUAAUAAUAAAUAAGUAAAUAACAACAAUGUCAGAUAGAGAAGCAGAUUUGGAAAUAAGAAAAGCUAGAAUUCUAGCCUGGCAAGAAGAAAAAAAAAGACAGAGAAGAGAAGAAGAGCAAAGAGAUGUUGCAUCAGAAACUGCUCGUGUUGCUGGUCCAAACAAGGAUGAAGAAUGAAACAAAAUUUUCUCUAAUAUUGUAGCUAAUUUAUUAACUAUCUUUUUAUAUGAUAAAUAGCUUUUUAUUUAAAAUAAAUAAGUUUUGAAAAUU